UGGGGAAUAUUGCACAAUGGGCGCAAGCCUGAUGCAGCCAUGCCGCGUGUGUGAAGAAGGCCAUCGGGUUGUAAAGCACUUUCAGCGAGGAGGAAGGGUAGUGUGUUAAUAGCACAUUGCAUUGACGUUACUCGCAGAAGAAGCACCGGCUAACUCCGUGCCAGCAGCCGCGGUAAUACGGAGGGUGCAAGCGUUAAUCGGAAUUACUGGGCGUAAAGCGCACGCAGGCGGUUUGUUAAGUCAGAUGUGAAAUCCCCGCGCUUAACGUGGGAACUGCAUUUGAAACUGGCAAGCUAGAGUCUUGUAGAGGGGGGUAGAAUUCCAGGUGUAGCGGUGAAAUGCGUAGAGAUCUGGAGGAAUACCGGUGGCGAAGGCGGCCCCCUGGACAAAGACUGACGCUCAGGUGCGAAAGCGUGGGGAGCAAACA
This 427-nucleotide ribosomal RNA is filed under the name uncultured bacterium. RNAcentral describes it as "partial 16S ribosomal RNA". It matches the Rfam family "Bacterial small subunit ribosomal RNA", at positions 355 to 774 of the family's 1533-position model. The record is from RNAcentral.